AGGAAGGCAGCAGGCGCGCAAAUUACCCAAUCCUAAUACAGGGAGGUAGUGACAAGAAAUAACAAUACAGGACUUUUUUAGUUUUGUAAUUGGAAUGAGUUAAGUAUAAACCCCUUUACAAGUAUCAAUUGGAGGGCAAGUCUGGUGCCAGCAGCCGCGGUAAUUCCAGCUCCAAUAGCGUAUAUUAAAGUUGUUGCAGUUAAAAAGCUCGUAGUUGGAUUUCUGUUAAUAAUUUAUAUAUAAUAUUUUUAAUAUUUAUAUAAUAUUAACAUAAUUCAUAUUACUAUAUAUUAUUAUUAGUAUAUGAAAUUUUACUUUGAGAAAAUUAGAGUGCUUAAAGCAGGCAUAUGCCUUGAAUACUCCAGCAUGGAAUAAUAUAAAAGAUUUUUAUCUUUUUUAUUGGUUCUAAGAUAA
RNAcentral lists this ribosomal RNA (414 nucleotides) under Cryptosporidium suis. RNAcentral describes it as "SSU rRNA". It matches the Rfam family "Eukaryotic small subunit ribosomal RNA", at positions 419 to 858 of the family's 1831-position model. Lineage: Eukaryota; Apicomplexa; Conoidasida; Eucoccidiorida; Cryptosporidiidae. The record is from RNAcentral.